Molecule: ribosomal RNA, 2773 nt
Filed under: Escherichia coli
Lineage: Bacteria; Pseudomonadati; Pseudomonadota; Gammaproteobacteria; Enterobacterales; Enterobacteriaceae
Description: bacterial LSU rRNA
Rfam family: Bacterial large subunit ribosomal RNA
Source: RNAcentral
AGCGUACACGGUGGAUGCCCUGGCAGUCAGAGGCGAUGAAGGACGUGCUAAUCUGCGAUAAGCGUCGGUAAGGUGAUAUGAACCGUUAUAACCGGCGAUUUCCGAAUGGGGAAACCCAGUGUGAUUCGUCACACUAUCAUUAACUGAAUCCAUAGGUUAAUGAGGCGAACCGGGGGAACUGAAACAUCUAAGUACCCCGAGGAAAAGAAAUCAACCGAGAUUCCCCCAGUAGCGGCGAGCGAACGGGGAGCAGCCCAGAGCCUGAAUCAGUGUGUGUGUUAGUGGAAGCGUCUGGAAAGGCGCGCGAUACAGGGUGACAGCCCCGUACACAAAAAUGCACAUGCUGUGAGCUCGAUGAGUAGGGCGGGACACGUGGUAUCCUGUCUGAAUAUGGGGGGACCAUCCUCCAAGGCUAAAUACUCCUGACUGACCGAUAGUGAACCAGUACCGUGAGGGAAAGGCGAAAAGAACCCCGGCGAGGGGAGUGAAAAAGAACCUGAAACCGUGUACGUACAAGCAGUGGGAGCACGCUUAGGCGUGUGACUGCGUACCUUUUGUAUAAUGGGUCAGCGACUUAUAUUCUGUAGCAAGGUUAACCGAAUAGGGGAGCCGAAGGGAAACCGAGUCUUAACUGGGCGUUAAGUUGCAGGGUAUAGACCCGAAACCCGGUGAUCUAGCCAUGGGCAGGUUGAAGGUUGGGUAACACUAACUGGAGGACCGAACCGACUAAUGUUGAAAAAUUAGCGGAUGACUUGUGGCUGGGGGUGAAAGGCCAAUCAAACCGGGAGAUAGCUGGUUCUCCCCGAAAGCUAUUUAGGUAGCGCCUCGUGAAUUCAUCUCCGGGGGUAGAGCACUGUUUCGGCAAGGGGGUCAUCCCGACUUACCAACCCGAUGCAAACUGCGAAUACCGGAGAAUGUUAUCACGGGAGACACACGGCGGGUGCUAACGUCCGUCGUGAAGAGGGAAACAACCCAGACCGCCAGCUAAGGUCCCAAAGUCAUGGUUAAGUGGGAAACGAUGUGGGAAGGCCCAGACAGCCAGGAUGUUGGCUUAGAAGCAGCCAUCAUUUAAAGAAAGCGUAAUAGCUCACUGGUCGAGUCGGCCUGCGCGGAAGAUGUAACGGGGCUAAACCAUGCACCGAAGCUGCGGCAGCGACGCUGAUGCGUUGUUGGGUAGGGGAGCGUUCUGUAAGCCUGCGAAGGUGUGCUGUGAGGCAUGCUGGAGGUAUCAGAAGUGCGAAUGCUGACAUAAGUAACGAUAAAGCGGGUGAAAAGCCCGCUCGCCGGAAGACCAAGGGUUCCUGUCCAACGUUAAUCGGGGCAGGGUGAGUCGACCCCUAAGGCGAGGCCGAAAGGCGUAGUCGAUGGGAAACAGGUUAAUAUUCCUGUACUUGGUGUUACUGCGAAGGGGGGACGGAGAAGGCUAUGUUGGCCGGGCGACGGUUGUCCCGGUUUAAGCGUGUAGGCUGGUUUUCCAGGCAAAUCCGGAAAAUCAAGGCUGAGGCGUGAUGACGAGGCACUACGGUGCUGAAGCAACAAAUGCCCUGCUUCCAGGAAAAGCCUCUAAGCAUCAGGUAACAUCAAAUCGUACCCCAAACCGACACAGGUGGUCAGGUAGAGAAUACCAAGGCGCUUGAGAGAACUCGGGUGAAGGAACUAGGCAAAAUGGUGCCGUAACUUCGGGAGAAGGCACGCUGAUAUGUAGGUGAAGUCCCUCGCGGAUGGAGCUGAAAUCAGUCGAAGAUACCAGCUGGCUGCAACUGUUUAUUAAAAACACAGCACUGUGCAAACACGAAAGUGGACGUAUACGGUGUGACGCCUGCCCGGUGCCGGAAGGUUAAUUGAUGGGGUUAGCGCAAGCGAAGCUCUUGAUCGAAGCCCCGGUAAACGGCGGCCGUAACUAUAACGGUCCUAAGGUAGCGAAAUUCCUUGUCGGGUAAGUUCCGACCUGCACGAAUGGCGUAAUGAUGGCCAGGCUGUCUCCACCCGAGACUCAGUGAAAUUGAACUCGCUGUGAAGAUGCAGUGUACCCGCGGCAAGACGGAAAGACCCCGUGAACCUUUACUAUAGCUUGACACUGAACAUUGAGCCUUGAUGUGUAGGAUAGGUGGGAGGCUUUGAAGUGUGGACGCCAGUCUGCAUGGAGCCGACCUUGAAAUACCACCCUUUAAUGUUUGAUGUUCUAACGUUGACCCGUAAUCCGGGUUGCGGACAGUGUCUGGUGGGUAGUUUGACUGGGGCGGUCUCCUCCUAAAGAGUAACGGAGGAGCACGAAGGUUGGCUAAUCCUGGUCGGACAUCAGGAGGUUAGUGCAAUGGCAUAAGCCAGCUUGACUGCGAGCGUGACGGCGCGAGCAGGUGCGAAAGCAGGUCAUAGUGAUCCGGUGGUUCUGAAUGGAAGGGCCAUCGCUCAACGGAUAAAAGGUACUCCGGGGAUAACAGGCUGAUACCGCCCAAGAGUUCAUAUCGACGGCGGUGUUUGGCACCUCGAUGUCGGCUCAUCACAUCCUGGGGCUGAAGUAGGUCCCAAGGGUAUGGCUGUUCGCCAUUUAAAGUGGUACGCGAGCUGGGUUUAGAACGUCGUGAGACAGUUCGGUCCCUAUCUGCCGUGGGCGCUGGAGAACUGAGGGGGGCUGCUCCUAGUACGAGAGGACCGGAGUGGACGCAUCACUGGUGUUCGGGUUGUCAUGCCAAUGGCACUGCCCGGUAGCUAAAUGCGGAAGAGAUAAGUGCUGAAAGCAUCUAAGCACGAAACUUGCCCCGAGAUGAGUUCU